UACAGAGGAUGCAAGCAUUAUCCAGAAUGAUUGGGCGUAAAGCAUCUGUAGGUGGCUUUUUAAGUCCACUAUCAAAUCCCAGAGCUCAAACCUGGACAAGCGGUGGAAACUACCAAGCUGGAGUACGGUAGGGGCAGAGGGAAUUUCCGGUGGAGCGGUGAAAUGCGUAGAGAUUGGAAAGAACACCAACGGCAAAAGCACUCUGCUGGGCCGACACUGACACUGAGAGACGAAAUCUAGGGGAGUGA
RNAcentral lists this ribosomal RNA (248 nucleotides) under uncultured Muribaculaceae bacterium. Its description in RNAcentral is "partial 16S ribosomal RNA". It matches the Rfam family "Bacterial small subunit ribosomal RNA", at positions 524 to 771 of the family's 1533-position model. Lineage: Bacteria; Pseudomonadati; Bacteroidota; Bacteroidia; Bacteroidales; Muribaculaceae. The record is from RNAcentral.